This 497-nucleotide ribosomal RNA is filed under the name uncultured bacterium. RNAcentral describes it as "partial 16S ribosomal RNA". It matches the Rfam family "Bacterial small subunit ribosomal RNA", at positions 28 to 507 of the family's 1533-position model. The record is from RNAcentral.
GAUGAACGCUGGCGGCGUGCCUAAUACAUGCAAGUCGAGCGAACAGACGAGGAGCUUGCUUCUCUGGCGUUAGCGGCGGACGGGUGAGUAACACGUGGAUAACCUACCUAUAAGACUGGGAUAACUUCGGGAAACCGGAGCUAAUACCGGAUAAUAUAUUGAACCGCAUGGUUCAAUAGUGAAAGACGGUUUUGCUGUCACUUAUAGAUGGAUCCGCGCCGCAUUAGCUAGUUGGUAAGGUAACGGCUUACCAAGGCAACGAUGCGUAGCCGACCUGAGAGGGUGAUCGGCCACACUGGAACUGAGACACGGUCCAGACUCCUACGGGAGGCAGCAGUAGGGAAUCUUCCGCAAUGGGCGAAAGCCUGACGGAGCAACGCCGCGUGAGUGAUGAAGGUCUUCGGAUCGUAAAACUCUGUUAUUAGGGAAGAACAAAUGUGUAAGUAACUAUGCACGUCUUGACGGUACCUAAUCAGAAAGCCACGGCUAACUACGUG